RNAcentral lists this ribosomal RNA (135 nucleotides) under uncultured eukaryote. Its description in RNAcentral is "partial 18S ribosomal RNA". It matches the Rfam family "Eukaryotic small subunit ribosomal RNA", at positions 1299 to 1458 of the family's 1831-position model. The record is from RNAcentral.
UGGUGGAGUGAUUUGUCUGGUUAAUUCCGAUAACGAACGAGACUCUAGCCUACUAAAUAGUGAGCAGAUCGCCAUGUCUGUCGCACUUCUUAGAGGGACAAGCGGCGUUUAGCCGCACGAAAUUGAGCAAUAACA